Molecule: unclassified non-coding RNA, 276 nt
Filed under: uncultured fungus
Lineage: Eukaryota; Fungi
Description: sequence contains ITS1
Source: RNAcentral
GUAUAGAUUUAUAGGCACAAAAGGCCCAUUCUGUUACAUUCUAAAACAUACAUUUGGGGUAUAUGAAGAAACAUAGGCCUGGAAAUGUAAGGAGAGACAUAAAGUCAAUUCCUCGAACCUGAAAUGCAAGGGCAUUCAGAAAGAUUACCCAGGUCUACAAAAGGUGCACAGGUGGAGAUAUAAAGAUGACAAGUGUGCACAUGCUCCCUAGAGAGCCAGCAACAACUCAUCAGGUUUAUUUCAAUAAUGAUCCUUCCGCAGGUUCACCUACGGAAA